UUUAUUGUGAAGACUGUGACG
RNAcentral lists this non-coding RNA (21 nucleotides) under Caenorhabditis elegans. Lineage: Eukaryota; Metazoa; Nematoda; Chromadorea; Rhabditida; Rhabditidae. The record is from RNAcentral.